CAAAAGUUAAAAAGAAUUGGGGGGAAAGUAUUGAAAAAAAGGAGGGGGUAGGGCAAAGCCACCUUGUGGUGUUGGCAAAUAUGCCUAGGUUUCAGUCCACAUGUUGUAAAAUCGUCUUAGAUUUGAGGUUUCAGGGCAAUUAUAUAAAGGCAUCCAAAGUGAGGAGUAUUGGCCUGUCCCUGCUCAGCUUUGGGAGAUUAACAGGUGGGAGGGAAGGGGCCAAUCAGAGACUGAAUUCUCAGAGUCUUCUCUAUGGUCCAGCCAAUCCCAGGCUAUGGAGUCAACGGCCUCUAAGAAAAAGGUAGCAGUUGGUGCCUGCCGACAAGCCGUUACUUUCCCAGCAUCAUAACAGAAGAACCUUACCCGUGAGCCUUGGAGAUGAUAGGCAGAGGGUUUGAGCAUAGUGGUUAUAGAUUGACAAGAUAGAGGUCAUGGAGCAGGUCAUGAGGCCAGGUGGAGUAACAAAGAAAACACUAAUCAUGUCUACUAUGAUAUGUGGAGGCAUUGCUUUACUUUUGUGGGCAAUGUUAAGAUUUCCUAUAAAAAGUUCAAGAUUGAAGGUGGUGGAAUGUGUGCCUUCAUGUUUCAAAAGAACAUCAGCAGUGCCAAUUGCGAUAAGUCAAUGAAAUACAUAUGUGGCAGAGAAUCCUUUUGUCCUUAGAUAAAGAGUUCCCCUGUAAUAGAGCAAAUAAAGUAAUUAAAGAAAAA
Suricata suricatta (meerkat) is the source of this 708-nucleotide long non-coding RNA. RefSeq lists it as uncharacterized. The record is from RefSeq and is a predicted model, not a curated record. NCBI's taxonomy places the organism in Eukaryota, Metazoa, Chordata, Mammalia, Carnivora, Herpestidae. The transcript has 3 exons.